This 496-nucleotide ribosomal RNA is filed under the name uncultured bacterium. RNAcentral describes it as "partial 16S ribosomal RNA". It matches the Rfam family "Bacterial small subunit ribosomal RNA", at positions 28 to 506 of the family's 1533-position model. The record is from RNAcentral.
GACGAACGCUGGCGGCGUGCCUAAUACAUGCAAGUUGAGCGCUGAAGGUUGGUACUUGUACCAACUGGAUGAGCAGCGAACGGGUGAGUAACGCGUGGGGAAUCUGCCUUUGAGCGGGGGACAACAUUUGGAAACGAAUGCUAAUACCGCAUAAAAACUUUAAACACAAGUUUUAAGUUUGAAAGAUGCAAUUGCAUCACUCAAGGAUGAUCCCGCGUUGUAUUAGCUAGUUGGUGAGGUAAAGGCUCACCAAGGCGAUGAUACAUAGCCGACCUGGGAGGGUGAUCGGCCACAUUGGGACUGAGACACGGCCCAAACUCCUACGGGAGGCAGCAGUAGGGAAUCUUCGGCAAUGGACGAAAGUCUGACCGAGCAACGCCGCGUGAGUGAAGAAGGUUUUCGGAUCGUAAAACUCUGUUGGUAGAGAAGAACGUUGGUGAGAGUGGAAAGCUCAUCAAGUGACGGUAACUACCCAGAAAGGGACGGCUAACUACGU